RNAcentral lists this transfer RNA (71 nucleotides) under Marmota monax (woodchuck). RNAcentral's name for it is "tRNA.Ala". The stretch from base 4 to 64 matches the Rfam family "tRNA", at positions 6 to 65 of the family's 71-position model. Rfam says of the family: Transfer RNA (tRNA) molecules are approximately 80 nucleotides in length. Their secondary structure includes four short double-helical elements and three loops (D, anti-codon, and T loops). The record is from RNAcentral. Lineage: Eukaryota; Metazoa; Chordata; Mammalia; Rodentia; Sciuridae.
AUUUGGAGCUCAGUGGUAGAGCACUUGCCUUGCAUGUAUGAGGCACUGGGUUCGAUCCUCAGCACCACAUA